AAUCUCUUGAAGAAGUGACUACUUGAACGGAGACCAGUCGAUCAUUCUUUCUGCGAUUAAUUCCAGAAAUUCACCGUGGUGAGGAAUAAAUUGUUGCUUGAUUCCAGUCUGCAAAGUGAAGAUGGAGAAAUCAGUGAUUGAGCAUGUAGAUGGAAUCAUGAAUAAUUCAGUGGAAAGAAAAAGUGAGCUCGGCACGGACCAGAACUUGUUUCAAAAUGAGCUUGAACUGUCUUUAGAUCGAGUCAAGAGAGUCGAACUCGCGAGCCUACGAACGAUUCGGCAUAUGUUUACCAUCCCUACUGAUAAGAUAACGUUUGAUUCAAAAGCAUGUAAAAUGUUUUGAGAUUUUAUGAAAAAUUAAUUUUUUGGACAA
Long non-coding RNA from Olea europaea var. sylvestris, 373 nucleotides. RefSeq lists it as uncharacterized. NCBI's taxonomy places the organism in Eukaryota, Viridiplantae, Streptophyta, Magnoliopsida, Lamiales, Oleaceae. The transcript is spliced from 2 exons. The record is from RefSeq and is a predicted model, not a curated record.